AGCAGCCGCGGUAAUUCCAGCUCCAAUAGCGUAUAUUAAAGUUGUUGCAGUUAAAAAGCUCGUAGUUGAAUUUCGGGAUUGACGUGAUGGUCGUGCCUUAAGGGGUAUGAACUGUCGCUGUUGAUUUCUCACCUUCUGGAGAAACUUGAUGUCCUUAAUUGGGUGUCUUGCGGAUCCAGGACCUUUACCUUGAAAAAUUAGAGUGUUUAAAGCAGGCAUUUUUGCUCGAAUACAUUAGCAUGGAAUAAUAGAAUAGGACGGCAUGGUUCUAUUUUGUUGGUUUCUAGGAUCACCGUAAUGAUUAAUAGGGAUAGUUGGGGGCAUUAGUAUUCAAUUGUCAGAGGUGAAAUUCUUGGAUUUAUUGAAGACUAACUACUGCGAAAGCAUUUGCCAAGGAUGUUUUCAUUAAUCAAGAACGAAAGUUAGGGGAUCGAAGACGAUCAGAUACCGUCGUAGUCUUAACCAUAAACUAUGCCGACUAGGAA
This 485-nucleotide unclassified non-coding RNA is filed under the name uncultured Glomus. Its description in RNAcentral is "SSU rRNA". It matches the Rfam family "Eukaryotic small subunit ribosomal RNA", at positions 569 to 1052 of the family's 1831-position model. Lineage: Eukaryota; Fungi; Glomeromycota; Glomeromycetes; Glomerales; Glomeraceae. The record is from RNAcentral.